AGCUCUUUGACUUGAGGCGAAAGAAACUAGCAUUUACUCCAUCAAUAGUUGUGCAUGGAACUUAAUGGCAUCAUCCCAUUUAAUCUUCACACCUGGCCUGGGAAUUCUCAGGCCACAGAACUGGACCCCCACGGCUGUUCCUCUGCCUUGGUACCCAGUCUGCUCAAAGCCUGGCUGGGAGCAAGGGAUGUCACCUUGAAGCCCAGGAGCACGACCCCCAAGUUUAAGGGCCUUUUUGGAACCAAAAUAUCAAGAUCGAGUCCUGCCAGCUACUCUAAGAGGCACAGUUUGGGCUUCAAGAUUUCAUUCUUGAGGUAGAGAACUCUCAGAUUCUUAGAGAAGGACAAGAGGAGGCUGCCCCAAGCUCUAGUUGUCCUCAAGCCAGUCUGGGGUCAAGGCCCUGCCCUUUCUGCAGCCUGGAGCGUGUCAAGGAAGCAGAUGACACCUCAGAGCAGGCACAUACCAAGCUACUGGAGCAGGACCCCAAAGGCAAUGACACCAAAACUCACUCGCAUAUGCAUCUCCUUUUGCUAUUGAUUUUUUUAAAUAUUCAAAAGUAAAGGUGAUUCCAUCUACUUGUCGCUUCACGAAGGAUCUCCCCUACCCCUGCCCUGGCCUCUCUUCCAAUUCGCUAAUGCGACAGAAACCACAAGAAGAACAAAGAAACCGCAGCCUGGUGUGAAUUGUGGAACACUUUAUUGAACACAAAUGAACAGAAGUCACAUUUCCUCAGUGGUCAGUGCUAGGUGCCAGCAAGGAAGUAAAAGGAAUUUCAGAGGAAAUGUUGGGGACAGAGGUAGAAGUUCAAAGGGAAAUAAUUUAGAGAACAAAAUCAAUGACAGCCUCAUCGGAAAUGCUUCUGAUGGUUGAGAGAAAUGAGGGUCCCAGUGAUGGGGAAGCAGAGAAAGGGUCGAGAACCCCCAGGAGGGAGCGUUUGCCCAGAAAGCUCUCCACUGCCCAGCCCACGGUGUCCUGGGGCGAGCUGGAAGGAAAGACAGCAGGACUCAGGAGGGCCCGAGCUUUGGAGUUAGAGCUGAACUCUUGAGAUAACCAGUCAACCAUAUGCCACUGGCUAAUCGUGGUGCUUUGUGCUACUGAGCUGGCCCAGAUCUUGAUUCCCUCAUCCUCAAGAUGGGACCAAUAAUGCCCAGCUCCUGGGGUUGUUAGGAGGAUGACUGAAAUAAUAAAUAUGAACAAAUCUGACCACCACAUAGUAGACCCACACAAAUUGCAGUUCCCGGUCCAAGCACCAGAAAUAACUUCUUCCUAUUUAUGACUUUGCCUGGGGCCAGCUGCUUCUAAAUGCUCCCUAGAGGAAUCAGGGACCUGAUCCAGCUCUCCUCCCCACUAGGGAGGCAUCUUCCCUGAGAAUUGCUGCCGGAGUCAAAUGUUGAUGCACAGCUGCCUCUCCUGGACAGGGCUGGAGCUGCACAGCCAAUCUGGGGUGGACUGCAGCUGUGCCAACCUGGGGCCUUGUCUGUGUGAUGAGGUCCAGAGCCAGAAGCUGUCACCUUCUCCACAUUUUCCAAAUGCCUCCCCACCUGUAGACACCUUAGGAGUCCUGAGGGCCAGCCCAGCUAGUAGAUGAGUCUGUGGCUUUCCAGAUUUUUGGAGAUGAGGACAAGCCACUCCAAUUCAUCCACAGUACCUGGUCCCCAAGGCAACCAAAAUUACCCAAGCUAUUUAUAAACCAUUCUUAAUCCUUGAGCUUGAAAAAAAUCAAAAGCCAAGAGCAUUUGGGUCCCACUUUUAAAAAUGGCAAGGAAAACAAUGAUUAAACUAAAACCUGAUCAAAAAAAUAAAAAAAUAAAAAAUAAAACCUGAUCAAAGGCUAGAUAUCCCCUUCCCCAAUUACUAUUUUCCCUAAUCCUCCUCCCCAACACAUGAAAACACACACACACAUGCAUAUACACGAAUACAUAUACAUGUGCACAAACAUACACUCUUACAUGAAUAUCUAUACAUGCAUAGGGCAGAGUCCCUUAAAGAAAAUCUUGAUACUGUCCAACACAUUCUAGUUUAUUCUAUAAAGCAGCGGCAACAAAUAUAUGAGAAGUUGAUGAAGGUUUGCAUACAUAGAACGACAUUUUAAUGACUGUGCCUCACCACAACCUACCACCUCUGAUGACAAUGUAUUCUUCAGUUAUGAAAGCACUAAUCAGAAAUAAAGUUAGAUUCCUUCUUUGCACUAUAGAUAAAAAUAAAAUGCAGGUAUGUUAAAGAUACACAUAGAGGCGCCUGGGUGGCUCAGUUGGUUGAGCAUCUGACUCCUGAUCACAGCUAGGAUCUUGAUCUCAGGGUCAUGGGUUCAAGCCCCAUGCUGGGCUCCAUGCUGGGGAUGGAGCCUACUUAAAUAAUAGUGCAAAAUAUGUUUAUAUUUUUAAAAGAUACUUAUAUAAGUAACUAUAACAAAUUUGAAAAACUCAGAACAUUUGAAUAGGCUUGGAAAUGGGAAAAAUUAAGCAAAAGGAAAAAACACGUAAGCCAUAAAAAGGGAGAGUUUUGAUCAUAUAUAAAAAUGAAAAACUUCAUAGAACAAAAAGAUACCAUAAUCAAAAUGAUAAAUAUAUGAUAAUGUAAGCAAGGAUUAUAACAAAAUGAUAGAUUGAGAGAAAACAUUUUCAAUAUGUAUAACGUACAAAAGAACUCUCCCAAAUUAACAAGACAAGUAACACAAUAGGAAAAUAACAACAUAGACCAACAAAUUACAGCAGAGUAACCAAAAUGAAUAAAAGUUGCACAAAAUUAAAAAAAAAAAGCACCAUCUCAAACAGUAGAUGGGGAAAUUAAAGUUAACACAACAGUAACCUAACCAUUUUUUUAAUCCAUUGAAUAUUUAGAAGAUCGGUCAUAUCCAGUGGCAAUGUAGGAGAGCUGGUUCUGUUGCAUAUUGUUAGAGGGACUGUAAAUAACUACAACCUUUUAUAAAAGUCAUCUAAUAGUCUUCAUUUCAAUUUAAAAUGUGCAUUUACUCUGAUCCAAGAAUACCAUUUCUGGGGAAUUUCCAGGUUACUUAAAAUAUCCGUGGAUAAAGCUAGUUGGCUGUGAUGUUUGUUACAGCACUUUUUUGCUAAUAAAAACUGAAACAACCUAAAUAUCAUUCAAAAGAUGACUCUAAACAAAUUAUGCAGCACCUGAGCCAUGACACAUUGAACCUCUGAUAUCCACUGCACGCUUCACAUGUGUAGCUCAGAGCAAGCCUGUGCUUCCAUGUCCUCCUCUGGAAAAUGAAGUUGACAAUGGUACUUCCAUCCCAUAUUAAUCGUUGGAAGGACUUUUAUUAUGUAUUGCUAAGUAUAAAUUUUUUUAAAAACAAUUUGCGGAAUUAAAAGCAUUUUUAAAUGUGUAUAUGCCUCUAUUUAUUUGAUGUGUUUAUAUCCACAAGGGCAAAAAGUGAAGGAGUUCUACAUUAAAUUGUGACACAUCUACUGCUUUUGUUCAUGGGUCAUUACAAAGAAUAAAAAGCCCUAAUAGGAAAAGAUGUGACUGGAAACAUUAACAGACUACUCAUUGAAACAAAAAUGCAAAUGGUUAAUAACCAUUGGGAGAAAAAUGCAGCCUUAAAAAAAAAAUCUUAAUUCAAAGCCCACUUUUCAAUGCCCUGUGCCACUCACAUUGGCCAAGCUGAGGGCAUGCAUCACCUACGCUGUGAAGCAAGAGUGUGUGUUCCUGUAUAGGUGCACAUGGGGUGGUGAGGGGAGGCAGGGAGGGGAGGAUGUGUGUGGAAAGGACCCUAGUCUCUAAGGGAUUCGACUAGAGAUGGACCUGAAUUCUAAUCCCAACCCUUUCACUCAUAUAUAGAAUUAGAUUAGUCUCUUACUCUUUCUGAACCAAUCUCUUCACUUGAGAAAUGAGUGAGCGAAGGGAUUCAGUGAGGUUAUUUUCAUACCAGGCUGGGCACAGGGAGUGCCUGCCCCCCCCCCCCACCCUGCCCUAGGCCCACCCUAUGGUGCUGAGUCCUCCCCCACUUCCUCCUCCUUCCUACCCUUUCCCAAGCACCCAGCAGAGCAGCCUCAGGUCCCCUGCAUGAAGAAGAGGCCCUGGCCUUUGCUUCACUGUAUCCCAGUGUAGCCUGCCUGCCUGUGCCUUGCUAUUUAACCAUGAUGUUAAUUCCUUUUGCAUUUAUGUGAUUUGGAUUCUUGCAAAACAAAAGGCAUGAUUUUAGUUAAACACAUACACACACAUACACACACGAGCACACAGACAAAAUAAAAACAGGAAUGCUGUAGCCCUUUACUUGAUACAAAUCUUUCUAGAUAAGAAUCCAGCUGUCACACUGGAGGCUCUACAAGACAGGGGUUCCGUCAGCCACAGAGAGCAAGCGCAACACCCCCCGCCCCCCAAAACGGAAACUGGGAGAGAAGAUGAAUGGUAACAAUUUCACAUUAUUGACAAAAUGCAUCUCAAAUCAUUGACCCUUUAAGAUACCUCGGAGGGGCAGCGGAAGGCAAAGUAAUCCACCUCUUGGCCAAGGGGCUGGGCUCCCGACAAACCGUGGAAAAACUAGCAGCCAAAUAACCUGCUCCUCUGGCUGUUGAGUGUUCUGGUGGUUCCAACAAGUCCGGUGGGAAUUCCCUUCGAACUUUCCAGGCUCCAAAGCCCCCACGCUUACUAUGUGUAUAGAUAUAUAAAGAGCCCCACUGUGCGCUGUUGGUCCGCGAGCUAGUCCAGGUCUCUAAAGCGGGGGGCCCCGGCCGGUGGGCAUCCGGGGGGGCCGGGCUCAGGCGCUCUGGGGCCGAGGCUCCCUCCCGCCGUUGAGGAGGUCCGUGAGCUCCCCGAUGUACUUGAUCGUGUACUUCAGGGUCUGGAUCUUGGUGAGCGGCUGGCCCCUCUGGCUGUAGACGGGCGGCAGGUAGUUGCGGAGGGUGUGCAGCGCAUCGGCCAAGGUCCUCAUCCGGAGCUUCUCCCUCUCGCUGGCCUUGCGUCUCCGCUGCACCGACAUCCUGACCUUGGCGCCCUUCUGGGCCUUGGGGCCAGCAGCGCCCUGCAGGUAGGCGGGCGGGAAGGCCAGCAUCUCGUAGGCCACCUGCACCCCGCCGCCCCCGCCCCCCCGCCCCCCGCGCUCGGGGCGCCUCCCAGCCCACGCGGCAGCCCCGGGGCAGCGGGCGGGGGGGAAGAGGAAUAGGACUCGAGCGACGGGGCCGGAGACAGGCUCUGGGGUGGGGAGGCCUGGCUCAGCUCGAAGGGCCCCCCUCUGUGGUCCCAGUCCCAGGAGGACAGCAGGCCCGGGCUGGCGGAGGGGCCCAGGCCCUCUUCGAGGCCG
This 5263-nucleotide transfer RNA is filed under the name Canis lupus familiaris (dog). RNAcentral's name for it is "lncRNA (ENSCAFG00030013860.1)". The stretch from base 2237 to 2327 matches the Rfam family "tRNA". Lineage: Eukaryota; Metazoa; Chordata; Mammalia; Carnivora; Canidae. The record is from RNAcentral.